Molecule: transfer RNA, 67 nt
Filed under: Hemidactylus farasani (Farasan gecko)
Lineage: Eukaryota; Metazoa; Chordata; Lepidosauria; Squamata; Gekkonidae
Description: tRNA-Gly
Source: RNAcentral
GCCUUCUUAGUAUACCAGUACAAACGGCCUCCAACCGCUUAGGCCCAGAUCAGCCUGGGAGAAGGCA